RNAcentral lists this ribosomal RNA (301 nucleotides) under uncultured bacterium. RNAcentral describes it as "partial 16S ribosomal RNA". It matches the Rfam family "Bacterial small subunit ribosomal RNA", at positions 509 to 807 of the family's 1533-position model. The record is from RNAcentral.
CAGUCGCCGCGGUAAUACAGAGGGUGCAAGCGUUAAUCGGAAUUACUGGGCGUAAAGCGCGCGUAGGUGGUUUGUUAAGUUGGAUGUGAAAUCCCCGGGCUCAACCUGGGAACUGCAUCCAAAACUGGCAAGCUAGAGUAUGGUAGAGGGUGGUGGAAUUUCCUGUGUAGCGGUGAAAUGCGUAGAUAUAGGAAGGAACACCAGUGGCGAAGGCGACCACCUGGACUGAUACUGACACUGAGGUGAGAAAGCGUGGGGAGCAAACAGGAUUAGAGACCCGCGUAGUCCCUGUCUCUUAUAC